This 253-nucleotide ribosomal RNA is filed under the name uncultured bacterium. RNAcentral describes it as "partial 16S ribosomal RNA". It matches the Rfam family "Bacterial small subunit ribosomal RNA", at positions 524 to 776 of the family's 1533-position model. The record is from RNAcentral.
UACGUAGGGUGCGAGCGUUGUCCGGAAUUAUUGGGCGUAAAGAGCUUGUAGGUGGUUUGUCGCGUCUGCUGUGAAAAUCCGAGGCUCAACCUCGGACUUGCAGUGGGUACGGGCAGACUAGAGUGUGGUAGGGGAGACUGGAAUUCCUGGUGUAGCAGUGAAAUGCGUAGAUAUCAGGAGGAAAACCGAUGGCGAAGGCAGGUCUCUGGGCUAGAACUGACGCUCAUGCACGAAAGCGUGGGGAGCGAACAGG